RNAcentral lists this long non-coding RNA (835 nucleotides) under Equus caballus (horse). RNAcentral describes it as "lncRNA (ENSECAG00000050482.1)". The record is from RNAcentral. Lineage: Eukaryota; Metazoa; Chordata; Mammalia; Perissodactyla; Equidae.
CUCAGACACCUGGAGUUGGUCCCAACGGGAUGGUGCUUGAAGCUUGGAUAAACGGGAGCCUAGCAUCAUAACGAUGGAGAUGCUGGAACUGCCCCAGCAGAGUCUUGAGGAACAGGGUCAAAAUGAUCAGAGAGGGGUUCAGGCUGCAAUGUCAGUCCGCAUCAGUGGACUGUCUCCCAGAGGGCUCGCUUCACGAGUUUGCAGGUGACGAACUGAAGCUCAGCGAGACUAACUAACUCAUCCAAUUUGAUGUGGCCCAGGAGAGGAGGAACACUGCAGCGAAGCAAAACAGAAAAGAAGUAACAAAUAGGCCAGCAGGCACAUGCGCUGGGGGUCCUCUUUGUCUUUUUACACCCAGCGUCUAGAACAAUCGUGGCCCAUUACACUGCAGAUGCUCAAUUAACACCUGCUACAUUCCUGAAACUCGAGCCCCAGAAUCCUGAGACUGGAAUAUAAAACACAAGAUAUUACAUAAAAGAGGCCACCACAAGAUUAUUUUGAUUACUCCUUUACUUGGAGAGUUUUCUUUAAAAUCAACGUCAGGUGUUUGUUGCCACGGCACUGCCCACCACUGCUCUGCGUACCCGUCAUGUCUGGUACAGCUACUGCACGGGAAGAAAGACGGAAGUUCUCCACUCCCCGUCAGACCACCUCAAGGCUUGCAACAUCUCCCACAAACUUGGUGCGCACCCGGACAAGUUCCUCUCCGUUCACGUUAACCCGCUGUGGCCAUCCACAUUUUGAAAGCAUUCACACAGAGAGCGAGCGUUCACAAUUUUCAGCUUCUCCAGCACCAAGUGCUGCAUUGUGUGCAGGACAGCCAGCUUGGGAUGAG